Molecule: transfer RNA, 72 nt
Filed under: Drepanopeziza brunnea f. sp. 'multigermtubi' MB_m1
Lineage: Eukaryota; Fungi; Ascomycota; Leotiomycetes; Helotiales; Drepanopezizaceae
Description: tRNA-Trp (CCA) (tRNA-Trp-CCA-1-1)
Rfam family: tRNA
About the family: Transfer RNA (tRNA) molecules are approximately 80 nucleotides in length. Their secondary structure includes four short double-helical elements and three loops (D, anti-codon, and T loops).
Source: RNAcentral
GAACGAUUGGCGCAGUGGUAGCGUACCUGAUUCCAGUCCAGGCGGUCACCCGUUCGAUCCGGGUAUCGUUCA